Molecule: long non-coding RNA, 544 nt
Organism: Bombus pascuorum
Lineage: Eukaryota; Metazoa; Arthropoda; Insecta; Hymenoptera; Apidae
Exons: 2
Source: RefSeq, a predicted model, not a curated record
GUGCCUCCGACGACCUACGUUCCUUUAUCUAAUUGAUCUUCUCAAUUCUAUCUUCUUAUUGCUUUUAUUUUUAGCCUCUUCACUUCUUUGAUUCUUUGAAUUCUUUCUUUCUGUAGGAAAGGUAUGGAGUUUGUUCGUGAAGACCUGAGACAAACGAAGAAACGACCAGUGUUGCUUGACAGACUCAACCGUACUGGCUGGAAGGAACAGAAAGCGUACGAGUUUAUCGCGGCAGCGCCUCUGGAUCUCAUUGUCAGUGGCGUAGAUCGGUGAAUCGGAGAUGCAGUUUCCAUCUCCAAUGUUUCAAUGUUAAAUUGAUCAUUAUUAUCCAUCAUUAUUUCUUUUAUUUUUAACGAUCAAUCACAAACUUAUCAAUAUAAUACCUAUUACAUCUAAUCAUAAGUUGUUUGAUUGAUAAUUGAAUAUCCUGCGGUGUUAUUACACGUAAAUUACUAAUAUGUAUUUCUAAAAAAAUAUUUCAAAUUUCUACUGCAUUAAACAAUGGAGUACAGAAAGGUACUAUAAUAAACAAACUUCCUUAGAA